This 1346-nucleotide ribosomal RNA is filed under the name uncultured bacterium. RNAcentral's name for it is "partial 16S ribosomal RNA". It matches the Rfam family "Bacterial small subunit ribosomal RNA", at positions 28 to 1381 of the family's 1533-position model. The record is from RNAcentral.
GACGAACGCUGGCGGCGUGCUUAACACAUGCAAGUCGAACGGAAAGGCCCUGCUUUUGUGGGGUGCUCGAGUGGCGAACGGGUGAGUAACACGCGAGUAACCUGCCCUUGACUUUGGGAUAACUUCAGGAAACUGGGGCUAAUACCGGAUAGGAGCUCCUGCUGCAUGGUGGGGGUUGGAAAGUUUCGGCGGUUGGGGAUGGACUCGCGGCUUAUCAGCUUGUUGGUGGGGUAGUGGCUUACCAAGGCUUUGACGGGUAGCCGGCCUGAGAGGGUGACCGGCCACAUUGGGACUGAGAUACGGCCCAGACUCCUACGGGAGGCAGCAGUGGGGAAUAUUGCACAAUGGGCGGAAGCCUGAUGCAGCAACGCCGCGUGCGGGAUGACGGCCUUCGGGUUGUAAACCGCUUUCGCCUGUGACGAAGCGUGAGUGACGAUAAUGGGUAAAGAAGCACCGGCUAACUACGUGCCAGCAGCCGCGGUGAUACGUAGGGUGCGAGCGUUGUCCGGAUUUAUUGGGCGUAAAGGGCUCGUAGGUGGUUGAUCGCGUCGGAAGUGUAAUCUUGGGGCUUAACCCUGAGCGUGCUUUCGAUACGGGUUGACUUGAGGAAUUUAGGGGAGAAUGGAAUUCCUGGUGGAGCGGUGGAAUGCGCAGAUAUCAGGAGGAACACCAGUGGCGAAGGCGGUUCUCUGGGCCUUUCCUGACGCUGAGGAGCGAAAGCGUGGGGAGCGAACAGGCUUAGAUACCCUGGUAGUCCACGCUGUAAACGGUGGGUACUAGGUGUGGGGUCCAUUCCACGGGUUCCGUGCCGUAGCUAACGCUUUAAGUACCCCGCCUGGGGAGUACGGCCGCAAGGCUAAAACUCAAAGGAAUUGACGGGGCCCCGCACAAGCGGCGGAGCAUGCGGAUUAAUUCGAUGCAACGCGUAGAACCUUACCUGGGUUUGACAUGGAUCGGGAGUGCUCAGAGAUGGGUGUGCCUCUUUUGGGGUCGGUUCACAGGUGGUGCAUGGCUGUCGUCAGCUCGUGUCGUGAGAUGUUGGGUUAAGUCCCGCAACGAGCGCAACCCUUGUUCACUGUUGCCAGCACGUUAUGGUGGGGACUCAGUGGAGACCGCCGGGGUCAACUCGGAGGAAGGUGGGGAUGACGUCAAGUCAUCAUGCCCCUUAUGUCCAGGGCUUCACGCAUGCUACAAUGGCUGGUACAGAGAGUGGCGAGCCUGUGAGGGUGAGCGAAUCUCGGAAAGCCGGUCUCAGUUCGGAUUGGGGUCUGUAACUCGACCUCAUGAAGUCGGAGUCGCUAGUAAUCGCAGAUCAGCAACGCUGCGGUGAAUACGUUCCCGGGGCU